GACGAACGCUGGCGGCGUGCCUAAUACAUGCAAGUCGAGCGCAGGAAGCCGUCUGAACCCUUCGGGGGGACGACGGUGGAAUGAGCGGCGGACGGGUGAGUAACACGUAAAGAACCUGCCCAUAGGUCUGGGAUAACCACGAGAAAUCGGGGCUAAUACCGGAUGUGUCAUCGGACCGCGUGGUCCGCUGAUGAAAGGCGCUCCGGCGUCGCCCAUGGAUGGCUUUGCGGUGCAUUAGCUAGUUGGUGGGGUAACGGCCCACCAAGGCGACGAUGCAUAGCCGGCCUGAGAGGGUGAUCGGCCACACUGGGACUGAGACACGGCCCAGACUCCUACGGGAGGCAGCAGUAGGGAAUCUUCCACAAUGGACGAAAGUCUGAUGGAGCAACGCCGCGUGAACGAUGAAGGCUUUCGGGUCGUAAAGUUCUGUUGUAAGGGAAGAACAAGUGCCGCAGGCAAUGGCGGCACCUUGACGGUACCUUGCGAGAAAGCCACGGCUAACUACGUGCCAGCCGCCGCUGUAA
This 524-nucleotide ribosomal RNA is filed under the name uncultured bacterium. RNAcentral describes it as "partial 16S ribosomal RNA". It matches the Rfam family "Bacterial small subunit ribosomal RNA", at positions 28 to 523 of the family's 1533-position model. The record is from RNAcentral.